This 309-nucleotide unclassified non-coding RNA is filed under the name uncultured Aspergillus. RNAcentral describes it as "sequence contains ITS1". The stretch from base 1 to 105 matches the Rfam family "5.8S ribosomal RNA", at positions 50 to 154 of the family's 154-position model. The record is from RNAcentral. Lineage: Eukaryota; Fungi; Ascomycota; Eurotiomycetes; Eurotiales; Aspergillaceae.
GAAAUGCGAUACUUGGUGUGAAUUGCAGAAUUCAGUGAAUCAUCGAGUCUUUGAACGCACAUUGCGCCCCCUGGUAUUCCGGGGGGCAUGCCUGUCCGAGCGUCAUUGCUGCCCUCAAGCACGGCUUGUGUGUUGGGCCCCGUCCCCGGGGGAGGGGACGGGCCCGAAAGGCAGCGGCGGCACCGCGUCCGAUCCUCGAGCGUAUGGGGCUUUGUCACCCGCUCUGUAGGCCCGGCCGGCGCCAGCCGACACCCAACUUUUAUUUCUAAGGUUGACCUCGGAUCAGGUAGGGAUACCCGCUGAACUUAA